GCUGUCUGACUUGAAACAAAAGAAGAGAAAACUAACUUAAUCCAACGACCGGUGGGAGGGACGAGGGAGUAGGAGAAGAAAUCCGGAAGAAGCACCUAACCGCAAAGAAAGGAAAAAUGUCUGCUACAGCUUCUUUGUGCUCGACGACUCUUCAAUCCCAAAUCAGUGGCUUUGGCGGCGGCCUUAAGCUUCGAAGAUCAUACCUCUCUCCUCCCAAUUCGCUCACCUCGACAAGGAGGAAGUUUCAAACAACAGUGAAGGCAACUGCACGUGUUGACAAGUUCUCAAAAAGUGAUAUCAUUGUUGCUCCAUCUAUUCUCUCUGCCAAUUUUGCUACGUUGGGUGAACAGGUAAAAGCAGUGGAGUUGGCGGGGUGUGAUUGGAUUCAUGUUGAUGUAAUGGACGGACGCUUUGUUCCAAAUAUCACAAUUGGACCCCUUGUAGUUGAUGCGUUGAGGCCAGUGACAGAUCUUCCACUGGAUGUACAUUUGAUGAUUGUUGAACCGGAGCAGCGGGUACCAGAUUUUAUCAAGGCUGGGGCUGACAUUGUCAGUGUUCACUGUGAACAAUCUUCCACUAUCCAUUUGCAUCGAACACUUAAUCAAGUUAAGAGUCUAGGAGCUAAAGCUGGAGUGGUUCUAAAUCCAGCUACCCCAUUAUCUACUAUAGAAUAUGUUCUUGAUGUGGUUGAUCUAGUAUUGAUUAUGUCAGUAAACCCUGGAUUUGGUGGGCAGAGUUUUAUUGAAAGCCAAGUUAAGAAAAUCUCUGAAUUGAGAAGAAUGUGCGCCGAGAAGGGUGUGAAUCCAUGGAUUGAAGUUGAUGGUGGAGUUGGUCCAGCAAAUGCAUAUAAGGUUAUUGAAGCUGGAGCGAAUGCAUUGGUUGCUGGUUCUGCUGUCUUUGGAGCUAAAGAUUAUGCUGAAGCUAUAAGAGGGAUCAAGACCAGCAAAAGGCCCCUAGCAGUUGCGGCAUGAAGUAUUUAUUGUUCCAAAGAUUGGGUCCUAUACAAAGUUAGUUCCACAUUCUUCACUUCCAUAUAUUAUUUCACAGAAGGCUGAACUAAGCAGAACUCUACUAGCUGAUAUCAGCAAUCUUUUUCCAUUAUAUUUCUGUGAUCUUCUCAAAAAACAACAAAGAAUCCAGCUUGGUAUUUGGUUAGGGUAGCAUAUCUUGUAUAGGAAAUUAAUUGAAGUAAAUUGUGAUUGCUUUUCUGUUUAAGAAGUCAUUUGUCUAAUUUUAUGUUUAA
This is an RNA transcript of Nelumbo nucifera (sacred lotus), 1243 nucleotides long. It is a transcript of the gene named ribulose-phosphate 3-epimerase, chloroplastic, with no coding region annotated. NCBI's taxonomy places the organism in Eukaryota, Viridiplantae, Streptophyta, Magnoliopsida, Proteales, Nelumbonaceae. The record is from RefSeq and is a predicted model, not a curated record.